This 710-nucleotide ribosomal RNA is filed under the name uncultured Bacillota bacterium. RNAcentral describes it as "bacterial SSU rRNA". It matches the Rfam family "Bacterial small subunit ribosomal RNA", at positions 8 to 687 of the family's 1533-position model. The record is from RNAcentral. Lineage: Bacteria; Bacillati; Bacillota.
AGGGUUUGAUCAUGGCUCAGGACGAACGCUGGCGGCGUGCCUAAUACAUGCAAGUCGAGCGCAGGAAACCAGAUAACCCCUUCGGGGGUGAUUCUGGCGGAAUGAGCGGCGGACGGGUGAGUAACACGUGGGCAACCUGCCUGUAAGACUGGGAUAACUUCGGGAAACCGGAGCUAAUACCGGAUAGUAUUUCCUUUCUCCUGAUUGGAAAUGGAAAGACGGUUUCGGCUGUCACUUACAGAUGGGCCCGCGGUGCAUUAGCUAGUUGGUGGGGUAAUGGCCCACCAAGGCGACGAUGCAUAGCCGACCUGAGAGGGUGAUCGGCCACACUGGGACUGAGACACGGCCCAGACUCCUACGGGAGGCAGCAGUAGGGAAUCUUCCGCAAUGGACGAAAGUCUGACGGNGCAACGCCGCGUGAGCGAUGAAGGCCUUCGGGUCGUAAAGCUCUGUUGUUAGGGAAGAACAAGUACGAGAGUAACUGCUCGUACCUUGACGGUACCUAACCAGAAAGCCCCGGCUAACUACGUGCCAGCAGCCGCGGUAAUACGUAGGGGGCAAGCGUUGUCCGGAAUAUUGGGCGUAAAGGGCUCGUAGGCGGUUUCUUAAGUCUGAUGUGAAAGCCCACAGCUCAACUGUGGAGGGUCAUUGGAAACUGGGGAACUUGAGUGCAGAAGAGGAGAGUGGAAUUCCACGUGUAGCGGUGAAAU